GAGGGGUGUUGUGUUGGAGAAUAGAACUCACUUGAUCAGUUAGGAAGACCUUUUUAGGCACAUGUGUCCUAGAUUUUCGCUUUUGUGUACAAAGGUCUUUGAGGAAUUUGGCAUAGGAGGGAACUUGUCUAAUAGCAUCAAGAAGCGGAAGGUUGAUUUUCUGAUGCCGGACCAAGUUUUAAAUGGAAGAAGGAGAAGAGGGGAAGAGAAGGAGGAAGAAGAAGAGAAGAAGGAGAAGGGAGGAGAAGAGAAGAAGAGGAAACGUGGGGGAAAGAAAUCUUUAAUUCUUCAUUAAAACCCUAAUCAACAUAAAGUUCCCUUUAAAUAGGGCCCCAUAAGAACAAUUAAAAUAAACCCCUUACAUAAAAUAAUUCUCCACAAAUAAGCCCUAAAAUGCAAAUAAGCCCAGAAUAAAAUAAACCCCAAAUAAAUUUUAAAACACAAAUAAAUCCAGAAAUAACAAUAAGCAAAUAUGCAAAUAAAAUGGGGACCUAGCUGAUGUCCCCAUCAACUCCUCCCGGGUGAGAAAAACUCGAC
RNAcentral lists this long non-coding RNA (537 nucleotides) under Phoenix dactylifera (date palm). RNAcentral's name for it is "long non-coding RNA (PDAC_LNC003007)". The record is from RNAcentral. Lineage: Eukaryota; Viridiplantae; Streptophyta; Magnoliopsida; Arecales; Arecaceae.